Molecule: ribosomal RNA, 253 nt
Filed under: uncultured bacterium
Lineage: Bacteria
Description: partial 16S ribosomal RNA
Rfam family: Bacterial small subunit ribosomal RNA
Source: RNAcentral
UACGUAGGGGGCAAGCGUUAUCCGGAAUCACUGGGCGUAAAGGGUGCGUAGGCGGUUUGUCAAGUCAGGAGUGAAAGGCUUAUGGCUCAACCAUAGUGAGCUCUUGAAACUGACAAACUUGAGUACAGGAGAGGAAAGUGGAAUUCCUAGUGUAGCGGUGAAAUGCGUAGAUAUUAGGAGGAACACCAGUGGCGAAGGCGACUUUCUGGACUGUAACUGACGCUGAGGCACGAAAGCGUGGGGAGCGAACAGG